AUUGAACGCUGGCGGCAUGCCUUACACAUGCAAGUCGAACGGCAGCACGGGUGCUUGCACCUGGUGGCGAGUGGCGAACGGGUGAGUAAUACAUCGGAACAUGUCCUGUAGUGGGGGAUAGCCCGGCGAAAGCCGGAUUAAUACCGCAUACGAUCUACGGAUGAAAGCGGGGGACCUUCGGGCCUCGCGCUAUAGGGUUGGCCGAUGGCUGAUUAGCUAGUUGGUGGGGUAAAGGCCUACCAAGGCGACGAUCAGUAGCUGGUCUGAGAGGACGACCAGCCGCACUGGGACUGAGACACGGCCCAGACUCCUACGGGAGGCAGCAGUGGGGAAUUUUGGACAAUGGGCGAAAGCCUGAUCCAGCAAUGCCGCGUGUGUGAAGAAGGCCUUCGGGUUGUAAAGCACUUUUGUCCGGAAAGAAAUCCUUGGCCCUAAUACGGUCGGGGGAUGACGGUACCGGAAGAAUAAGCACCGGCUAACUACGUG
Molecule: ribosomal RNA, 486 nt
Filed under: uncultured bacterium
Lineage: Bacteria
Description: partial 16S ribosomal RNA
Rfam family: Bacterial small subunit ribosomal RNA
Source: RNAcentral